This 859-nucleotide ribosomal RNA is filed under the name uncultured marine bacterium. Its description in RNAcentral is "bacterial SSU rRNA". It matches the Rfam family "Bacterial small subunit ribosomal RNA", at positions 8 to 916 of the family's 1533-position model. The record is from RNAcentral.
AGAGUUUGAUCCUGGCUCAGAACGAACGCUGGCGGCAGGCCUAACACAUGCAAGUCGAGCGCGCUUUCGGGUGAGCGGCGGACGGGUUAGUAACGCGUGGGAACGUGCCCUUCUCUACGGAAUAGCCUCUGGAAACGGAGAGUAAUACCGUAUACGCCCUUUGGGGGAAAGAUUUAUCGGAGAAGGAUCGGCCCGCGUUAGAUUAGGUAGUUGGUGGGGUAACGGCCUACCAAGCCUACGAUCUAUAGCUGGUUUUAGAGGAUGAUCAGCAACACUGGGACUGAGACACGGCCCAGACUCCUACGGGAGGCAGCAGUGGGGAAUCUUAGACAAUGGGGGCAACCCUGAUCUAGCCAUGCCGCGUGAGUGAUGAAGGCCUUAGGGUCGUAAAGCUCUUUCGCCUGUGAUGAUAAUGACAGUAGCAGGUAAAGAAACCCCGGCUAACUCCGUGCCAGCAGCCGCGGUAAUACGGAGGGGGUUAGCGUUGUUCGGAAUUACUGGGCGUAAAGCGCGCGUAGGCGGAUUAGAAAGUUGGGGGUGAAAUCCCGGGGCUCAACCCCGGAACUGCCUCCAAAACUGCUAGUCUAGAGUUCGAGAGAGGUGAGUGGAAUUCCGAGUGUAGAGGUGAAAUUCGUAGAUAUUCGGAGGAACACCAGUGGCGAAGGCGGCUCACUGGCUCGAUACUGACGCUGAGGUGCGAAAGUGUGGGGAGCAAACAGGAUUAGAUACCCUGGUAGUCCACACCGUAAACGAUGAAUGCCAGUCGUCGGGUAGUAUACUAUUCGGUGACACACCUAACGGAUUAAGCAUUCCGCCUGGGGAGUACGGUCGCAAGAUUAAAACUCAAAGGAAUUGACGG